UGGCUCAGUUGGUAGAGCAUGGUGUUUGCAACGCCAUGGUUGUGGGUUCGAUUCCCAC
Molecule: non-coding RNA, 58 nt
Organism: Salmo salar (Atlantic salmon)
Lineage: Eukaryota; Metazoa; Chordata; Actinopteri; Salmoniformes; Salmonidae
Source: Rfam